UUUCCAAUUAAUCUGUUUGGCCACUGUGUUUGAGAAAAUCCUUGAAAGUAUAUUCCAAGUUACUCUUUUGGAGUUCUGUCCUCCUACAGCACCUACCCAGAUAGCAAAAAAUAUCCGCAUGGCUUCUUUUUGCCGCCGCGUCCUGCUGGCGGGGAUGAAACGUUUGCCGCCGAAUACGUCACUCCCAUUUCUUGCAAGAUGCCGCCAGGAAACAGCCGGCGGUCCGACUGCUUCAUUUUCUUUGGCGGUUGCCUCGGUCUAAAGGACCGCUGUCGUCCGGCGGCAAGACACUUUUAAAUACAAGGCUACUCUCAAAAUCGACCGGCCAAUGGUUUUGCAUGUUGGGAGUUAAGUGGAACUGACGGCAUUUUUACUACUUUUCACAUUUGAAGCGAUUAUAAAAUCCUAAUAUUUAAUAUGUGAAUUAUAUCAAAUAGUUUUUUUUCUCCAAAGCAUAGGGUUUAUUACAGAUUAUAACAGAUUAAUAGGGUUUAUAACAUGAUUCCAUGAGAGGUAAGGUUUAGGAAAUUACAUUUAAAUGACUUUGAAACUCUGAAGCGAUUAUACAGUAAUAUAUGUAAAAUAUAUCGAAUUAUUUUAUGCACUUAGGGGGAAAUUGUUUACAUUUAUUUGAUUUAGGCACAAUUAUGCUCCUGGAUCCGUCUCUACUGUUGAUGACGCAUUGGAGUCACUGAGGCUGGCCCCUCCCGUAACAAUAAAACUAGAGUACAUUCGCUUCAGUUCGAUCAAUCGUGAGUUACUACAGCCUUCAGUUGUAAGUUAGCAAAUUCAUCGACAUCGACUACCAGCGUUUAAGUAAGUAUAUGUUUGCUUUUUGUGUAACGCAAUAUUAUGUUUACAUUGUUUUUUGUGUAUGUAUUUAAAAUAUGGAGUCAUCUUUGGUCUUGCCUAACUAGUCAAGCUAAAGUAGCCUUGUUUACGCACAUGCUGUUUGCCUAUGUUACAGUAAACACUGAGGUUAAGCAAUGUUGCUAGUACAUGUAGAAAUGUAACUAGCUACAGUAGGUAGCCAGAGCUUUACACUUAGAAAGACUAAGUUGAACUUUUGAUAUUUUUUAACAAAAAUAACGAUGUGUAUAGGUUGUUUAAGUAAUUUUGUUUGCCUGAACAAGUAUGCUGCUAGAGUGGCUAGCAAGUGUUAGCUAGCACAUGCUGUUUGCCUAUGUUACAGUUUCCUCUUUCUCAGAACCAGGUUUCUCCCCAGGACACACUCCACUUCACAGAGCCAAGCGUUUGAGUACGACAGAAAAUUUACCCUUGCAGCAAAUGGAUGAAAAGGCUGGAGGAGAAAGUCAUCGCUCCGUUAUUGGCCCUUGGAUUCCCCUGGCAUCGCAUGUACAGCAUGAAGUUUUCAGCAAUGAAGAUUUCCAGAACGAGAACCAAGCCGUGAGGGAGGAGAACCAAUCUCUGAGGGGAAGCCAUGCACGAGCAGCUUCGGAUGACAGCGGCUCGCUUCAAGAGCAGCUUCGGUUUUUGGCUAUCAAAUGUGGGAGGGACCUGAAGACAACAGUGUGGAGAAUGCUUCAGAGUAUAUUCUCUAAUAACCUUGCCGUUAAUACAACCUGGACAGGUAUAGGGGAUAAAACAUGUUUUAGAGACCUGUUCCUGAAGACCAUUGUUCAAAGGGCCCUCCGGAAGAACCCGGCAACCCAGGAUGACACUGAUGAGGCGGUCCAGGUUAACGUUACACGUUACCUGAAAGGAGCAUCAGACCGUGAAGGAGGAAAAAGCCGCACAGCUGAGAAGGACCCACAGCCGACCCCUUAAACCUAGGCUGACUACUGACACCCCAGCAUCACUGAACUGGAACACUUUCUUUAUCCUGCAGUCAGUAACAUCAAGAAGCCAGAAGUGCCAAACUACACUCACCAAAUCCACCCUGUUUUUUUUUGUAUUUUAACUUUAGUAUUGGCUUAUUCCAUUCCGUCUUAACGAUUCUAUUAUAGUUUGUAAAUCCUAUUUCAUACCUGUUACUUGAUAUUGCACAUUAACUAGUACCAACAUUCUACUUUCAUUUCAUCACUGUGCUUAACUGUUUUUCAUUCAAUACCUCUGAUACUUGAUAUUGCACAUUACCUGGUACCAAAUAUUCUACUUACUCUGUUUUUAACAUCAGCAUUUUUCAUUCCAUCACAGUGCUUAACUGUUAUUCUAUUGUUAAAUAUAGCUUGUAAAUCCUUGUGCCACAGGUCAGCAUUGCAGUUAUAAUGGUCUGUUCUACUACUGUUUUUACCUCUGUAUUUUUAUAUGUGUAUGUCAAGUUUUGUUUAUCACAGAUACAAGAGACACAUCUUAAUGCAGCAUGGUGUAAAUAUUGUGCGCCAGGUCAGCAAUGCCAUUAUAAUGGAAUAUUCUACUCUAGAGCUUUACUCAAUGGCUUGAAAAUGUGAUGUUCUACCUCGUUUUAUUUGGUAUCCUGCACAUUCUUUGGUACCAUAUCCUCAUUACUUAUGUUUACUGGUAAUUAUUUUCAUCCCAGAGCUGACCUCUAUAUUAUUAACAAUUAUUGUGUUUGUGUUAUAAUAUGCUUGUAUGGCUGUUCUUUUUUUUUUAACCAACAUUUUAUUGGAAACCUGCAUGUUCUGUAGUGUGUAUUUAUGUUUAUUUUUUUCUGCCUAUUAUUUAUUUCAGUGAUCUGACACAUCUUGUUUGAAUGACAGUUACUGUACUUUGAAAUGUGGAAUUAAAAC
Esox lucius (northern pike) is the source of this 2711-nucleotide long non-coding RNA. The record is from Ensembl. Lineage: Eukaryota; Metazoa; Chordata; Actinopteri; Esociformes; Esocidae.